RNAcentral lists this ribosomal RNA (2697 nucleotides) under Chabaudstrongylus ninhae. Its description in RNAcentral is "eukaryotic LSU rRNA". It matches the Rfam family "Eukaryotic large subunit ribosomal RNA", at positions 1 to 2614 of the family's 3401-position model. The record is from RNAcentral. Lineage: Eukaryota; Metazoa; Nematoda; Chromadorea; Rhabditida; Trichostrongylidae.
UGCAACCUGAACUCAGGCGUGAUUACCCGCUGAACUUAAGCAUAUCAUUUAGCGGAGGAAAAGAAACUAACAAGGAUUCCCUUAGUAACGGCGAGUGAACGGGGAGAAGCCCAGCGCUGAAUCUUUCGAUGUUACAUCGUAAAGAAAUGUAGCGUAUAGGUGUGAUUUUCAGUUUGUGCUACAUGUCCAAAGUCCCUUUGAUAGGGGCCAUAUUCCCGAGAGGGUGCGAGACCUGUGCGGACAGUGGAGCAAGCUGUACGAUCAUACCUUAGAGUCGGGUUGCUUGAAAGUGCAGCCUAAAGUGGGUGAUAAACUUCAUCUAAGGCUAAAUAUAGACGCGAAUUCGAUAGCAAACAAGUACUGUGAAGGAAAGUUGCAAAGAACUUUGAAGAGAGAGUUCAAGAGAACGUGAAAUCGCUGGAGUGGAACCGGAGAGAGUCGAUGUAGCCGGGUAACUAAGUUUCCUAAGGUCGCUUAAUUGUGGCUGCAGGUGAUGUAUGUUGCCUAUGGCUGCGCUGACAGCGCUGGCUAUGCGUUCUGACCCGUUUGCGUUGCCCACUUCGGUGGUGUCUUGCCUACGGUUAAGUUUGUCAUGGCUAGCGUUUUAUUCUGCAUGCAGAGUGUCAGUGUGAAAGUCGACCACCUCUCCGACCCGUCUUGAAACACGGACCGAGGAGUGUAACUUGUACGCGAGUCAAAGGGUGGUAAAACCCCAAGGCGUAAUGAAAGUAAAGGUCGGUUAACCGGCUGACAUGGGAUCUACUUUUCGAAGUAGCGCACCAUGGCCCUGUCUUGUCUGCAUGCAGAUGGGCAGCGGUAGAGCGUACAGGUUGCGACCCGAAAGAUGGUGAACUAUGCCUGAGCAGGACGAAGUCAGAGGAAACUCUGGUGGAAGUCCGUAUCGGUUCUGACGUGCAAAUCGAUCGAUAGACUUGGGUAUAGGGGCGAAAGACUAAUCGAACCAUCUAGUAGCUGGUUCCCUCCGAAGUUUCCCCCAGGAUAGCUGGAGUUCAUUGCGGUUAUAUCCGGUAAAGCGAAUGAUUAGAGGACUUGGGGUCGAAACGACCUCAACCUAUUCUCAAACUUUCAAUGGGUAUGUUGUCUCGGUUUCUUUGUUGAACUGUUGACACGAACGCGAGCUCCAAGUGGGCCAUUUUUGGUAAGCAGAACUGGCGCUGUGGGAUGAACCAAACGUUGGGUUAAGGUGCCUAACUUUUCGCUCAUGAGACCCCAUAAAAGGCGUUGGUUGAUAUAGACAGCAGGACGGUGGCCAUGGAAGUCGGUACCCGCUAAGGAGUGUGUAACAACUCACCUGCCGAAUCAACUAGCCCUGAAAAUGGAUGGCGCUUGAGCGAGAGACCUAUACCCAGCCGUUGCUGGCUUGUGCGUUGUCUAACGCCUGGCCGCAACGAGUAGGAGGGUCGUGGCGGUUGCGUCGAAGGCUUUGGGCGUAGGCCCAGCUGGAGCUUCCGUCAGUGCAGAUCUCGGUGGUAGUAGCAAAUAUUUAAGUUCGAUCCUUGAAGACUGAAGUGGAGAAGGGUUCCACGUGAACAGUAGUUGAAUGUGGGUCAGUCGAUCCUAAGAUACUGGCUUAUGCCUUGUAUCAUCGAGAGGGAAAAGUCUCUUUUCUCUCGGAUAUCAAAAGGGAAUAGGGUUAAUAUUCCCUAACGCAGACACAGAGAUUGUGGCUCGUUGAGUCACUUGCGCGGUAACGCAUUCGAACUUGGUUACGUCGCUCAGAGACCGAGCUAGAGUUCUCUUCUCUAGUUAAGGAACGGACUCCCUGGAAUCGGUUCAGCCGUAGAUAGGGACGUUGUUUCCGUAAAGCAUCGCGGUUUCUGUGAUGUCUCGUGUUCUCUGGACGGCCCUUGAAAAACCAAGGAAGGCUAUUAAUCUGUGCUGCAUCGUACCGAUAUCCGCAUCAGGUCUCCAAGGUGAACAGCCUCUAGUCGAUAGAAUAAUGUAGGUAAGGGAAGUCGGCAAAUUAGAUCCGUAACUUCGGGAAAAGGAUUGGCUCCAGUGACCGGGUCGGUUGGCCUGUUAACUGAUGCUUGUGCGGUUUCGUCCGUGGCUGGCUGAUGCUCACGCUGAUGCUGGACUAGUGACAAGACUGCCUUGUGGACGUUUUCAGGUGUGUGCUUUGUCUUCGGGCUUAGUAUCCUGACCGACCAUCAAAACGGUCGAACUGGAACUGGUACGGACUCGGGGAAUCCGACUGUCUAAUUAAAACAGAGGAGACAGAUGGUCCUUGCGGACGUUUACUGUCUCUGAUUUCUGCCCAGUGCUCUGAAUGUUAAAUCGUAGUAAUUCGAGUAAGCGCGGGUAAACGGCGGGAGUAACUAUGACUCUCUUAAGGUAGCCAAAUGCCUCGUCAGCUAACUACUGACGCGCAUGAAUGGAUUAACGAGAUUCCCACUGUCCCUAACUACUAUCUAGCGAAACCACAGCCAAGGGAACGGGCUUGGCAAAAAUAGCGGGGAAAGAAGACCCUGUUGAGCUUGACUCUAGUUUGACAUUGUGAAGAGUCAUGAGAGGUGUAGCAUAGGUGGGAGACUUCGGUCGCCAAUGAAAUACCACCACUUUCAUCGAUUCUUUACUUAUUCGGUGAGAAGAGGAUUGAGUUUCGGCUCUUUUUUCUUUGUCUUAAGCAAAGCCACCUGGUGGCAUUGCGACUCUCGCCGAAGACAGUGUCAGGCG